UGGGGAAUUUUGGACAAUGGGGGCAACCCUGAUCCAGCCAUGCCGCGUGAGUGAAGAAGGCCUUCGGGUUGUAAAGCUCUUUCGGCCGGGAAGAAAUCGCAUGGGCUAAUACUCUAUGCGGAUGACGGUACCGGCAUAAGAAGCACCGGCUAACUACGUGCCAGCAGCCGCGGUAAUACGUAGGGUGCGAGCGUUAAUCGGAAUUACUGGGCGUAAAGCGUGCGCAGGCGGUUUUGUAAGACAGGCGUGAAAUCCCCGGGCUCAACCUUGGAACUGCGUUUGUGACUGCAAGGCUAGAGUACGGCAGAGGGGGGUGGAAUUCCACGUGUAGCAGUGAAAUGCGUAGAGAUGUGGAGGAACACCAAUGGCGAAGGCAGCCCCCUGGGUCGAUACUGACGCUCAUGCACGAAAGCGUGGGUAGCAAACA
RNAcentral lists this ribosomal RNA (427 nucleotides) under uncultured prokaryote. Its description in RNAcentral is "bacterial SSU rRNA". It matches the Rfam family "Bacterial small subunit ribosomal RNA", at positions 355 to 774 of the family's 1533-position model. The record is from RNAcentral.